Molecule: ribosomal RNA, 379 nt
Filed under: uncultured bacterium
Lineage: Bacteria
Description: bacterial SSU rRNA
Rfam family: Bacterial small subunit ribosomal RNA
Source: RNAcentral
GACGAACGCUGGCGGCGUGCUUAACACAUGCAAGUCGAGCGGUAAGGCCCUUUCGGGGGUACACGAGCGGCGAACGGGUGAGUAACACGUGGGUGACCUGCCCUUAGCUCUGGGAUAAGCCUGGGAAACUGGGUCUAAUACCGGAUAUGACUCCAUAACGCAUGUUGUGGGGUGGAAAGCCUUGUGCGGCCAGGGAUGGGCCCGCGGCCUAUCAGCUUGUUGGUGGGGUGAUGGCCUACCAAGGCGACGACGGGUAGCCGGCCUGAGAGGGCGACCGGCCACACUGGGACUGAGACACGGCCCAGACUCCUACGGGAGGCAGCAGUGGGGAAUCUUGCGCAAUGGGCGAAAGCCUGACGCAGCGACGCCGCGUGGGGGA